UGUAUGGUUAAGUGACUAAGCGUACACGGUGGAUGCCUGGGCAGUCAGAGGCGAUGAAGGACGUACUAACUUGCGAUAAGCGCAGAUAAGGCAGUAAGAGCCGUUUGAGUCUGCGAUUUCCGAAUGGGGAAACCCAACUGCAUAAGCAGUUACUGUUAACUGAAUACAUAGGUUAACAGAGCAAACCGGGGGAACUGAAACAUCUAAGUACCCCGAGGAGAAGAAAUCAACCGAGAUUCCGGUAGUAGCGGCGAGCGAACCUGGAUUAGCCCUUAAGCACUCGGUGAAGUAGGUGAACAAGCUGGAAAGCUUGGCGAUACAGGGUGAUAGCCCCGUAACCGACGCUUCAUCGAGCGUGAAAUCGAGUAGGGCGGGACACGUGAUAUCCUGUCUGAAUAUGGGGGGACCAUCCUCCAAGGCUAAAUACUCCUGACUGACCGAUAGUGAACCAGUACCGUGAGGGAAAGGCGAAAAGAACCCCUGUGAGGGGAGUGAAAUAGAACCUGAAACCGUGUACGUACAAGCAGUAGGAGCACCUUCGUGGUGUGACUGCGUACCUUUUGUAUAAUGGGUCAGCGACUUAUAUUCAGUGGCAAGGUUAACCGUAUAGGGGAGCCGUAGCGAAAGCGAGUCUUAACUGGGCGCUCAGUCUCUGGAUAUAGACCCGAAACCGGGUGAUCUAGCCAUGGGCAGGUUGAAGGUUGAGUAACAUCAACUGGAGGACCGAACCGACUAAUGUUGAAAAAUUAGCGGAUGAC
RNAcentral lists this ribosomal RNA (758 nucleotides) under Vibrio cholerae. RNAcentral describes it as "partial 23S ribosomal RNA". It matches the Rfam family "Bacterial large subunit ribosomal RNA", at positions 1 to 808 of the family's 2925-position model. The record is from RNAcentral. Lineage: Bacteria; Pseudomonadati; Pseudomonadota; Gammaproteobacteria; Vibrionales; Vibrionaceae.